This 253-nucleotide ribosomal RNA is filed under the name uncultured bacterium. RNAcentral describes it as "partial 16S ribosomal RNA". It matches the Rfam family "Bacterial small subunit ribosomal RNA", at positions 524 to 776 of the family's 1533-position model. The record is from RNAcentral.
UACGUAGGGUGCAAGCGUUAAUCGGAAUUACUGGGCGUAAAGCGUGCGCAGGCGGCUUUGCAAGACAGAUGUGAAAUCCCCGGGCUUAACCUGGGAACUGCAUUUGUGACUGCAUGGCUGGAGUGCGGCAGAGGGGGAUGGAAUUCCGCGUGUAGCAGUGAAAUGCGUAGAUAUGCGGAGGAACACCGAUGGCGAAGGCAGCCCCCUAGGCCAAUACUGACGCUCAGGCACGAAAGCGUGGGGAGCAAACAGG